Molecule: ribosomal RNA, 413 nt
Filed under: uncultured microorganism
Description: bacterial SSU rRNA
Rfam family: Bacterial small subunit ribosomal RNA
Source: RNAcentral
GAGUUUGAUCAUGGCUCAGGACGAACGCUGGCGGCGUGCUUAACACAUGCAAGUCGAACGGAAAGGCCCUGCUUUGUGGGGUGCUCGAGUGGCGAACGGGUGAGUAACACGUGAGUAACCUGCCCUCGACUUUGGGAUAACUUCAGGAAACUGGGGCUAAUACCGGAUAGGAGCUCCUGCUGCAUGGUGGGGUUGGAAAGUUUCGGCGGUUGGGGAUGGACUCGCGGCUUAUCAGCUUGUUGGUGGGGUAGUGGCUUACCAAGGCUUUGACGGGUAGCCGGCCUGAGAGGGUGACCGGCCACAUUGGGACUGAGAUGCGGCCCAGACUCCUACGGGAGGCAGCAGUGGGGAAUAUUGCACAAUGGCGGAAGCCUGAUGCAGCAACGCCGCGUGCGGGAUGACGGCCUCGGUUG